This 555-nucleotide ribosomal RNA is filed under the name Alternaria sp. YLN11. Its description in RNAcentral is "eukaryotic LSU rRNA". The stretch from base 191 to 344 matches the Rfam family "5.8S ribosomal RNA". The record is from RNAcentral. Lineage: Eukaryota; Fungi; Ascomycota; Dothideomycetes; Pleosporales; Pleosporaceae.
CCGUGGAGUACUGCGGAGGACAUUACACAAAUAUGAAGGCGGGCUGGAACCUCUCGGGGUUACAGCCUUGCUGAAUUAUUCACCCUUGUCUUUUGCGUACUUCUUGUUUCCUUGGUGGGUUCGCCCACCACUAGGACAAACAUAAACCUUUUGUAAUUGCAAUCAGCGUCAGUAACAAAUUAAUAAUUACAACUUUCAACAACGGAUCUCUUGGUUCUGGCAUCGAUGAAGAACGCAGCGAAAUGCGAUAAGUAGUGUGAAUUGCAGAAUUCAGUGAAUCAUCGAAUCUUUGAACGCACAUUGCGCCCUUUGGUAUUCCAAAGGGCAUGCCUGUUCGAGCGUCAUUUGUACCCUCAAGCUUUGCUUGGUGUUGGGCGUCUUGUCUCUAGCUUUGCUGGAGACUCGCCUUAAAGUAAUUGGCAGCCGGCCUACUGGUUUCGGAGCGCAGCACAAGUCGCACUCUCUAUCAGCAAAGGUCUAGCAUCCAUUAAGCCUUUUUUUCAACUUUUGACCUCGGAUCAGGUAGGGAUACCCGCUGAACUUAAGCAUAUCAAA